Molecule: unclassified non-coding RNA, 2069 nt
Filed under: Hevea brasiliensis (rubber tree)
Lineage: Eukaryota; Viridiplantae; Streptophyta; Magnoliopsida; Malpighiales; Euphorbiaceae
Source: RNAcentral
CAAGUGAAAAUGCAAUCAAGAUUGGAAGAGGAGGAGGAAGCCAAGGCAGCUUUAAUGAGCCGGAUACAGAGGCUAACUAAACUGAUCCUUGUUUCUUCAAAGAAUUCAAUCCCUGGGUAUUUGGGUGAUGUUGCUGGGCAUCAGAGGAGCCAUUCUCCUCCUGAAGAUGAUAAGAUGGAUAGUUCUAUGCUUAUAGAUGGCGAGAAUCAGAAAGACCCUUCAGCAGAUACUUCUGAUCCGAAACACAGAAGAUCUUCUAGCAAGUGGAAUGAUGGUAUAUCUCAGGUGGGGAAUGCAAUCACUGAAUCAGCUCAGGAAGGAAUUUCUAUGUCUGAUCAGAUGGACCUUCUAGUUGAGCAAGUCAAGAUGCUUGCUGGAGAGAUUGCCUUCAGCACCAGUACAUUGAAACGCCUUGUUGAGCAAUCUGUUAAUGACCCCGAGAGUUCGCAAACACAAAUUCAAAAUUUAGAGUGUGAAAUUCAAGAGAAGAGAAAGCAAAUGAGGAUGUUGGAACAACAUAUUGUUGAAAGUGGUAAAGCAUCUGUUGCAAAUGCAUCCUUCGUCGAAAUGCAGCAGACUUUGAUGAAAUUGAUGACACAAUGUAGUGAGCAGAGUUUCGAGCUUGAGAUAAAAUCUGCAGAUAAUCGGAUUCUCCAGGAACAGCUGCAGAACAAGUGCUUAGAGAACAAGGAACUACAAGAAAAGAUUUGUCGUGUUGAACAGCAGCUAGCUGCAUUUAAGGCAGAACAAGCGAAUCCCUCAUCAGAAAGAUGUGUAUCUGAUGAAUAUAUUGAUGAGCUUAGAAGGAAAAUUCAGUCCCAGGAUGUUGAGAAUGACAAGCUAAAGCUGGAACAUAUUCAGCUUGCGGAGGAGAACAGUGGGCUGCAUGUGCAAAACCAGAAAUUGUCAGAGGAAGCUUCAUACGCAAAAGAAUUAGCAUCUGCUGCUGCUGUUGAACUGAAAAAUUUAGCUGCUGAAGUCACAAAGCUCUCAUUACAGAAUGCAAAACUGGAGAAAGAAUUGUUGGCUGCCCGAGAGAUGUCGAGAUCUAGGAGUUCCAAUGCACAAACUGGUAACGUCAGUAGCAGAAAGCAUGGUGAAAACAUAAGACCAGGGCGUAGAGGCCGGGUUUCUGGUCGAGUAAGUGAAAUUUCAGGAGGGAUUCAUGAUGACUUCGACACGUGGGACCUAGAUCCUGAAGAUCUAAAGAUGGAGUUGCAAGCAAGAAAACAACGUGAAGCAGUUCUUGAGGCUGCGUUGGCUGACAAGGAGAUUGUGGAAGAUGAGUACAGGAAAAAGGUAGAGGAGGGAAAGAAAAGGGAGGCUUCUUUGGAAAAUGAUUUGGCAAAUAUGUGGGUGCUCGUCGCUCAACUAAAGAAAGAGAAUAGUGCUAGGCAAGACUUGAAACUGGCAGCUGACUGUCAAUUAAGUGGAGAAGGCAAUAUGGUGAAUCCAGAAAUUAAUGUUGGUGACAACAAGGAUCUCAUCCCUGAUGUUAGCCAAGACGGGGUUCAUACAAAUGCAGCUGCUGAGAUUCUGAAGGAAGAACCUCUGGUGGCCCACUUGAAGGCUCGAAUGCAAGAAAUGAAGGAGAAAGAUAUACACUUGGGCAAUGGUGAUGCAAAUUCACAUAUAUGCAAAGUAUGUUUUGAGUCACCUACUGCUGCAAUGCUCCUUCCUUGCCGACAUUUUUGUUUGUGCAAGUCUUGUUCCCUGGCUUGCAUUGAGUGUCCAAUUUGUCGGACAAAAAUUGUAGAUAGGAUUUUUGCUUUUACUUGACUUUGCACUUCAAUUGCAUGGAAUGAUGGUGCAAAAAAAGGAGUUCAUUUAUUCUCGUCAACUUGCCAUAUUCUAUUAUAUUCUUUUAUUAGUUCCACUGUAUGUAAAUUUCCGGCUACCCUAUUCAAAUGCUAUAUCAUUUUUACAAUGUACUUAACCAAGGACUAUCAAAGAAAAAGACAAAGCAACAGAGGAAGUGAUGCAAAUUAGUAAAUCUGAAGUUCUCAGGAGUUGCUAUAUGAUCUCCUUGACCUUUAAAUGUAGUGUAUAGAACAGAUGUGUAAUACAAA